Neopsephotus bourkii (Bourke's parrot) is the source of this 1047-nucleotide long non-coding RNA. RefSeq lists it as uncharacterized. The record is from RefSeq and is a predicted model, not a curated record. The transcript is spliced from 4 exons. NCBI's taxonomy places the organism in Eukaryota, Metazoa, Chordata, Aves, Psittaciformes, Psittacidae.
GCUGUGCUUAAAUUCCUGUUAAAUCAAAGCACAACCUCAUCCUCCGGAGAUCCCAAGAGCUAAACAGUUUUGUAAUGACUCUAUUUUGUUUCUUUCUCCAUGCAGUGUUUCUCACCUCGGAGGUGAUGCUGUAGAGACAUCUGGCAGCACUGCAAAGUCCAUCCUGUCCUUGUGCUCCUAAAAUAUCACUGGUCCAUCCCCAAACAGAGGGGCCAGUUGCAGAGAAGGCUGCCAGCAUAACUCACCACGUAACUACAUAACUAUAGCCUUUUGUGCCACUGCUUUGAGGAGAAGGGGAUUUUUAGCUUCCCAUAAGCCUUUCUUAAGGUACUGCUUAACUGCAAGGAAAGAAAAGUGCUCCCUCAUGCUGAUAGUAAACACUGGAGAUGGUGUGUUAAUCCUGAGAAAUCAAUGUUCCUGAUUUAGGUGGGCAUUGCUUUCCAUGCCCCAGCAUCCUUAUGUGUAUCCUCACCAAAGGUGCUGGGUACAGCUCUGUAUCCCGCUCCUGUGUGCCUGCAGGGUGUUGCUCAGUUUAUAGCAGUGUAACUGUAUCAUUUCAGGUUGUGCCUCAGGCAGAGAGCUGUAGUCAUGGGAUGCUGUACCUGGUUUGGAGGUUGGAGUUAGCAGAACCAGCACUGGGGCUUGGGAAGGGUUGCACGAGGCCUUCCCUGGGAUUCAGCACUACUUGUGUGGAGUGCUGCUGACUUUAGAUACUACCCUUUCAUGAGUUCACUGAGCAGAAAAGCCAUUUCAAGUUCCAAAGAAGCAAGAAAUAACUCAGCUGUGAGCAAUAUUUAAGCACGUGGCGGUGGCUGUGCUGCCAAAGCCACCUCUUAAACUGCUUCAGAGAGUUUCUUCAUCAGAAGAGUUCAGCUGGUACUUCAACAAGUGGGGCUCAGCCCCUGUGAUGAGGAGUCCCAGGAGAGUGAAGCCGUUGAGCUGGGCAGUGCAAACACAGCUGGAGGGCAAUGCCUGAUCCAUGGAGUGCAUGUCUCAGCCCUGCUGAAGGUCUGGUAAUAGAUCUGAGACCACACCACCUGGAUGCAG